This 258-nucleotide ribosomal RNA is filed under the name uncultured bacterium. Its description in RNAcentral is "partial 16S ribosomal RNA". It matches the Rfam family "Bacterial small subunit ribosomal RNA", at positions 1234 to 1500 of the family's 1533-position model. The record is from RNAcentral.
CAGGUACAGCGGGAAGCCAUAUGGCGACAUAGAGCGGAACCCGAAAACCUGUCUCAGUUCGGAUUGGAGUCUGCAACCCGACUCCAUGAAGCUGGAUUCGCUAGUAAUCGCGCAUCAGCCACGGCGCGGUGAAUACGUUCCCGGGCCUUGUACACACCGCCCGUCAAGCCAUGGAAGCCGGGAGUGCCUGAAGUGCGUGAGCGCAAGCAGCGCCCUAAGGUAAAACCGGUGACUGGGGCUAAGUCGUAACAAGGUAAC